UGGAGCUGAAAUCAGUCGAAGAUACCAGCUGGCUGCAACUGUUUAUUAAAAACACAGCACUGUGCAAACACGAAAGUGGACGUAUACGGUGUGACGCCUGCCCGGUGCCGGAAGGUUAAUUGAUGGGGUUAUCCUCACGGAGAAGCUCUUGAUCGAAGCCCCGGUAAACGGCGGCCGUAACUAUAACGGUCCUAAGGUAGCGAAAUUCCUUGUCGGGUAAGUUCCGACCUGCACGAAUGGCGUAAUGAUGGCCAGGCUGUCUCCACCCGAGACUCAGUGAAAUUGAACUCGCUGUGAAGAUGCAGUGUACCCGCGGCAAGACGGAAAGACCCCGUGAACCUUUACUAUAGCUUGACACUGAACACUGGUCCUUGAUGUGUAGGAUAGGUGGGAGGCUUUGAAGUGUGGACGCCAGUCUGCAUGGAGCCGUCCUUGAAAUACCACCCUUUAAUGGCUGGUGUUCUAACGUGGGCCCGUAAUCCGGGUUGCGGACAGUGUCUGGUGGGUAGUUUGACUGGGGCGGUCUCCUCCUAAAGAGUAACGGAGGAGCACGAAGGUCAGCUAAUCCUGGUCGGACAUCAGGAGGUUAGUGCAAUGGCAUAAGCUGGCUUGACUGCGAGCGUGACGGCGCGAGCAGGUGCGAAAGCAGGUCAUAGUGAUCCGGUGGUUCUGAAUGGAAGGGCCAUCGCUCAACGGAUAAAAGGUACUCCGGGGAUAACAGGCUGAUACCGCCCAAGAGUUCAUAUCGACGGCGGUGUUUGGCACCUCGAUGUCGGCUCAUCACAUCCUGGGGCUGAAGUAGGUCCCAAGGGUAUGGCUGUUCGCCAUUUAAAGUGGUACGCGAGCUGGGUUUAGAACGUCGUGAGACAGUUCGGUCCCUAUCUGCCGUGGGCGCUGGAGAAUUGAGGGGGGCUGCUCCUAGUACGAGAGGACCGGAGUGGACGCAUCACUGGUGUUCGGGUUGUCAUGCCAAUGGCAUUGCCCGGUAGCUAAAUGCGGAAGAGAUAAGUGCUGAAAGCAUCUAAGCACGAAACUUGCCCCGAGAUGAGUUCUCCCUGACUCCUUGAGAGUCCUGAAGGAACGUUGAAGACGACGACGUUGAUAGGCCGGGUGUGUAAGCGCAGCGAUGCGUUGAGCUAACCGGUACUAAUGAACCGUGAGGCUUAACCUU
RNAcentral lists this ribosomal RNA (1171 nucleotides) under Klebsiella oxytoca. Its description in RNAcentral is "bacterial LSU rRNA". It matches the Rfam family "Bacterial large subunit ribosomal RNA", at positions 1762 to 2925 of the family's 2925-position model. Lineage: Bacteria; Pseudomonadati; Pseudomonadota; Gammaproteobacteria; Enterobacterales; Enterobacteriaceae. The record is from RNAcentral.